Molecule: ribosomal RNA, 500 nt
Filed under: uncultured Glomeromycotina
Lineage: Eukaryota; Fungi; Glomeromycota
Description: SSU rRNA
Rfam family: Eukaryotic small subunit ribosomal RNA
Source: RNAcentral
CCAAUAGCGUAUAUUAAAGUUGUUGCAGUUAAAAAGCUCGUAGUUGAAUUUCGGGAUCAAUAUGUCGGUCGUGCCUUCGGUACGUACUGGCAUCAUUGGUUUCUCCCUUCUGACAAACCAUGAUGUCAUUAAUUUGGUGUUAUGGGGAGUUAGGACUGUUACUUUGAAAAAAUUAGAGUGUUUAAAGCAGGCUCACGCUUGAAUACAUUAGCAUGGAAUAAUGAAAUAGGACGUUUGAUUCUAUUUUGUUGGUUUCUAGGAUUGACGUAAUGAUUAAUAGGGAUAGUUGGGGGCAUUAGUAUUCAAUUGUCAGAGGUGAAAUUCUUGGAUUUAUUGAAGACUAACUACUGCGAAAGCAUUUGCCAAGGAUGUUUUCAUUAAUCAAGAACGAAAGUUAGGGGAUCGAAGACGAUCAGAUACCGUCGUAGUCUUAACCAUAAACUAUGCCGACUAGGGAUCGGAUGAUGUUAAUUUUUUAAUGACUCAUUCGGCGCCUUACG